This 271-nucleotide ribosomal RNA is filed under the name uncultured archaeon. RNAcentral describes it as "partial 16S ribosomal RNA". It matches the Rfam family "Archaeal small subunit ribosomal RNA", at positions 477 to 747 of the family's 1478-position model. The record is from RNAcentral.
CAGCGCCACAAGUGGGAAUCACAAUUAUUGGGCCUAAAGCGUCCGUAGCCUGUCUGAUGAAUCUCUUGUGAAAUCGUUCGGCUUAACCGAACGGCGUGCAGGAGACACUGUCAAACUAGAGACCGGGAGGGGUCAGAGGUAUUCCAUGAGGAGCGGUAAAAUGCUAUAAUCCAUGGAGGACCACCGGUGGCGAAGGCGUCUGACCAGAACGGAUCUGACGGUGAGGGACGAAAGCCAGGGGAGCAAUCCGGAUUAGAGACCCGAGUAGUCC